Molecule: ribosomal RNA, 445 nt
Filed under: uncultured bacterium
Lineage: Bacteria
Description: bacterial SSU rRNA
Rfam family: Bacterial small subunit ribosomal RNA
Source: RNAcentral
GUGAGGAAUAUUGGUCAAUGGGCGAGAGCCUGAACCAGCCAAGUAGCGUGCAGGACGACGGCCCUAUGGGUUGUAAACUGCUUUUAUGUGGGGAUAAAGUGCGUGACGUGUCAUGCAUUGCAGGUACCACAUGAAUAAGGACCGGCUAAUUCCGUGCCAGCAGCCGCGGUAAUACGGAAGGUCCGGGCGUUAUCCGGAUUUAUUGGGUUUAAAGGGAGCGUAGGCUGUCUAUUAAGCGUGUUGUGAAAUUUACCGGCUCAACCGGUGGCUUGCAGCGCGAACUGGUCGACUUGAGUAUGCAGGAAGUAGGCGGAAUUCAUGGUGUAGCGGUGAAAUGCUUAGAUAUCAUGACGAACUCCGAUUGCGCAGGCAGCUUACUGUAGCAUAACUGACGCUGAUGCUCGAAAGUGCGGGUAUCAAACAGGAUUAGAAACCCUAGUAGUCC